This 1159-nucleotide ribosomal RNA is filed under the name Cronobacter sakazakii. RNAcentral's name for it is "bacterial SSU rRNA". It matches the Rfam family "Bacterial small subunit ribosomal RNA", at positions 357 to 1533 of the family's 1533-position model. Lineage: Bacteria; Pseudomonadati; Pseudomonadota; Gammaproteobacteria; Enterobacterales; Enterobacteriaceae. The record is from RNAcentral.
GGGAAUAUUGCGCAAUGGGGGAAACCCUGACGCAGCAACGCCGCGUGGAGGAUGACACUUUUCGGAGCGUAAACUCCUUUUCUUAGGGAAGAAUUCUGACGGUACCUAAGGAAUAAGCACCGGCUAACUCCGUGCCAGCAGCCGCGGUAAUACGGAGGGUGCAAGCGUUACUCGGAAUCACUGGGCGUAAAGGGCGCGUAGGCGGAUUAUCAAGUCUCUUGUGAAAUCUAAUGGCUUAACCAUUAAACUGCUUGGGAAACUGAUAGUCUAGAGUGAGGGAGAGGCAGAUGGAAUUGGUGGUGUAGGGGUAAAAUCCGUAGAUAUCACCAAGAAUACCCAUUGCGAAGGCGAUCUGCUGGAACUCAACUGACGCUAAGGCGCGAAAGCGUGGGGAGCAAACAGGAUUAGAUACCCUGGUAGUCCACGCCCUAAACGAUGUACACUAGUUGUUGGGGUGCUAGUCAUCUCAGUAAUGCAGCUAACGCAUUAAGUGUACCGCCUGGGGAGUACGGUCGCAAGAUUAAAACUCAAAGGAAUAGACGGGGACCCGCACAAGCGGUGGAGCAUGUGGUUUAAUUCGAAGAUACGCGAAGAACCUUACCUGGGCUUGAUAUCCUAAGAACCUUUUAGAGAUAAGAGGGUGCUAGCUUGCUAGAACUUAGAGACAGGUGCUGCACGGCUGUCGUCAGCUCGUGUCGUGAGAUGUUGGGUUAAGUCCCGCAACGAGCGCAACCCACGUAUUUAGUUGCUAACGGUUCGGCCGAGCACUCUAAAUAGACUGCCUUCGUAAGGAGGAGGAAGGUGUGGACGACGUCAAGUCAUCAUGGCCCUUAUGCCCAGGGCGACACACGUGCUACAAUGGCAUAUACAAUGAGACGCAAUACCGCGAGGUGGAGCAAAUCUAUAAAAUAUGUCCCAGUUCGGAUUGUUCUCUGCAACUCGAGAGCAUGAAGCCGGAAUCGCUAGUAAUCGUAGAUCAGCCAUGCUACGGUGAAUACGUUCCCGGGUCUUGUACUCACCGCCCGUCACACCAUGGGAGUUGAUUUCACUCGAAGCCGGAAUACUAAACUAGUUACCGUCCACAGUGGAAUCAGCGACUGGGGUGAAGUCGUAACAAGGUAACCGUAGGAGAACCUGCGGUUGGAUCACCUCCUUUCUA